UAGUUUUUUUUUUUUUUUUUUUUUUUUUUUUUUUUUGUCAUCAGCAGAAACAAGAUCAGCUCAGAUGAGCCAAUGUUGAGGACAGUUUAUAACAGUUUUAAAAGGAUUUACAAGGAUUUUUAAAAUAUUUUAAAAUAGUUUUUUAAAAAUUUACAAGGAUUUUUAAAGGUUUUUAAAAGGAUUUACAAGUGUUUUUAAAAGGAUUUACGAGUGUUUACAAGUGUUUUUAAAGGAAUUUACAAGGAUUUUAAAAUUGAUUUUAA
This 263-nucleotide long non-coding RNA is filed under the name Capsella rubella. RNAcentral describes it as "long non-coding RNA (CRUB_LNC001587)". The record is from RNAcentral. Lineage: Eukaryota; Viridiplantae; Streptophyta; Magnoliopsida; Brassicales; Brassicaceae.